RNAcentral lists this ribosomal RNA (374 nucleotides) under uncultured organism. RNAcentral describes it as "partial 16S ribosomal RNA". It matches the Rfam family "Bacterial small subunit ribosomal RNA", at positions 527 to 896 of the family's 1533-position model. The record is from RNAcentral.
GUAGGUGGCAAGCGUUGUCCGGAAUUAUUGGGCGUAAAGCGCGCGCAGGCCGGGUUUUUUAAGUCUGAUGUGAAAGCCCACGGCUCAACCGUGGAGGGUCAUUGGAAACUGGAGAACUUGAGUACAGAAGAGGAAAGCGGAAUUCCACGUGUAGCGGUGAAAUGCGUAGAGAUGUGGAGGAACACCAGUGGCGAAGGCGGCUUUCUGGUCUGUAACUGACGCUGAGGCGCGAAAGCGUGGGGAGCAAACAGGAUUAGAUACCCUGGUAGUCCACGCCGUAAACGAUGAGUGCUAAGUGUUAGGGGGUUUCCGCCCCUUAGUGCUGCAGCUAACGCAUUAAGCACUCCGCCUGGGGAGUACGGCCGCAAAGGCUG